Molecule: ribosomal RNA, 1068 nt
Filed under: Triticum aestivum (bread wheat)
Lineage: Eukaryota; Viridiplantae; Streptophyta; Magnoliopsida; Poales; Poaceae
Description: partial small subunit ribosomal RNA
Source: RNAcentral
AUGGACGCUCUCGCGCCCACCCCCACCCGCCGCCGCCUCCUCGCCGGCGCGGCCGCCGCCACCGCCUGCUACGGCCUCUACCGCCUCUACCUCCACCACCGCCGCCGCAUCGCCGCGGCGCUCUCCCUCGCCGACGCGCUCUCGCAGGCCGGCUCCGACCUGGCCGACUUCCUCCGCUCCGACUCCGACCAGGUGCCCCGCAGCCUGCGCCAGCUCUCCAAGCUCGCCGCCUCCGACCACGUCUCCUCCGCCGCCUCGGCGCUCUCCGAGUCGCUCGCCUCGGGGGCCCUCCGCGCCUUCUCCUCCCACCGGGCCCCGGAUCCUUCCUCCCCGCCGCUGCAAGACCGGAUCUUGGACCGCCUCCUCUCCCCCGACGGCGCCGGGUUCGCCUCCGCCGUCCUCGGGAGCUUCGCCAGGAACCUCGUGCUCUCCUGCCGUGAUCCCGAGGCCCGGCCCCGCGCCCCUGGCCAGCCCGACUGGCUCGCCGCGCUGUGCAGCGACAGGGGCAAGGAGGCCGCCGCGGAGCUCGUCCGGGUGUUUGUCAGCACCGCCGUCGCCGCCUACCUCGACGGGACCGCGGCCGUGCGCACCUCCGACCAGGUGCUCGCCGGCUUCUCUAACCCCAAGCACGACGUCAAGCUCAAGGACCUGCUCGUGUCCGUCUGCAACGGCGCCGUCGAGACCUUUGUCAGGACCUCGCGGCAGGUCACAAAGGAGGCCUCCAUUUCUCGGGCUGAAGCAGCAGUGGUGCAAGAGGUCUUUAAUUCAGGUCCUAGCUGUGUAAUGGAGAGAGUAUCGACCACGUUGGCCAUGCCAAGCAACCGGAGGUUUGUGCUGGAUGUCACCGGCAGGGUCACCGCUGAGAUUGUCCGGUCAUUCCUCGAGUUCUCGACUCAGCGGGUGUCGGCUGGUGCACGAAAGAGCAUUGUCGUUGCCCGGGACGAAAUCACUGAAAGGGGUCUUGUCGCCGUGAAGUACCUGAGCGCCAAGUCCAUGGCCAUCUUCACCUUAUGCCUCACAAUGUGCAUGCACAUUUCGGUUGGAAUGAGGUUCCCGUUCCCGGCCUAG